CCUACGGGUGGGCAGCAGUGGGGGAUAUUGCAAAAUGGAGGAAACUCUGAUGCAGCGACGCCGCGUGAGGGAAGACGGUCUUCGGAUUGUAAACCUCUGUCUUUGGGGAAGAAAAUGACGGUACCCAAAGAGGAAGCUCCGGCAAACUACGUGCCAGCAGCCGCGGUAAUACGUAGGGAGCGAGCGUUGUCCGGAAUUACUGGGUUUAAAGGGUGCGUAGGCGGAAUGCCAAGUCAGCGGUAAAAUCGUGGGGCUAAACCGCGCUCUGCCGUUGAAACUGGCGUUCUUGAGUGGGUGAGAGGUAUGCGGAAUGCGUGGUGUAGCGGUGAAAUGCAUAGAUAUCACGAAGAACUCCGAUUGCGAAGGCAGCAUGCCGGCGCCCAACUGACGCUGAAGCACGAAAGCGUGGGUAUCGAACAGGAUUAGAUACCCUUGUAGUC
RNAcentral lists this ribosomal RNA (440 nucleotides) under uncultured bacterium. Its description in RNAcentral is "partial 16S ribosomal RNA". It matches the Rfam family "Bacterial small subunit ribosomal RNA", at positions 338 to 795 of the family's 1533-position model. The record is from RNAcentral.